Molecule: ribosomal RNA, 496 nt
Filed under: uncultured bacterium
Lineage: Bacteria
Description: bacterial SSU rRNA
Rfam family: Bacterial small subunit ribosomal RNA
Source: RNAcentral
UCAUGGCUCAGGAUGAACGCUAGCGGCAGGCUUAAUACAUGCAAGUCGUGGGGCAGCAGGUUUGUAGCAAUACAGAUGCUUGGCGACCGGCAAACGGGUGCGGAACACGUACAGAACCUUCCUUUGAGCGGGGAAUAGCCCAGAGAAAUUUGGAUUAAUACCCCAUAGUAUAAUGAAGUGGCAUCACUUUAUUAUUAAAGAUUUAUCACUCGAAGAUGGCCGUGCGGCUGAUUAGGUAGUUGGCGGGUAAAGGCCACCAAGCCUGCGAUCAGUAACUGGUGUGAGAGCACGACCAGUCACACGGGCACUGAGACACGGGCCCGACUCCUACGGGAGGCAGCAGUAAGGAAUAUUGGUCAAUGGAGGCAACUCUGAACCAGCCAUGCCGCGUGGAGGAUGAAGGUCCUCUGGAUUGUAAACUUCUUUUAUAUGGGACGAAAAAGGCUUUCUAAGUCGUCUGACGGUACCAUAUGAAUAAGCACCGGCUAACUCCGUG